GAAAGCGUGCGACAGGGAGUGGGAGCCCCAAGUCAAGAGGAGCCCCACAGAGGCAGCCCUGGACUUCGGGACCACAGAGGUGCUGAGUGCUGCCCGAUUCUGGAUCCCACUCUGCUUAGCUCAGAACUUUGUCAGCGAGCAAGAACAAUGCCAGGAGGUCUGGAGAAAACGUGUCAUCAGUGCAUUUCUAAAAUCGCCAGCAAUGCCUGCUUCGUUGUUGUGCUCUGUGCUUUCCUGGCUCUGCCGCUGUCCAUGACCUUCAUAGGUAAGCUGCCUUCCGA
This 281-nucleotide long non-coding RNA is filed under the name Pan troglodytes (chimpanzee). Its description in RNAcentral is "long non-coding RNA NONPTRT004484". The record is from RNAcentral. Lineage: Eukaryota; Metazoa; Chordata; Mammalia; Primates; Hominidae.